GGGCACUGGUUUGGCACCAGACCUCCCAGAGCAGGACAUGUAAAAGGCACAAAAUAAUUGCCAGUGUCCUCCAUGGCCACGAUGAUGAUGAUGAUGAUUUAUGGAACUUAAUGAUAAGAGCUGCACUCUGCAGCGUCAUUUCACCUUUGGCUGUUUCAAGAAUCUUACUUCCUGUCAAUCAUCUGGUAGCAUCUCUUGAGCCAGCCGAUGCCGGG
Syngnathoides biaculeatus (alligator pipefish) is the source of this 215-nucleotide long non-coding RNA. RefSeq lists it as uncharacterized. NCBI's taxonomy places the organism in Eukaryota, Metazoa, Chordata, Actinopteri, Syngnathiformes, Syngnathidae. The transcript has 3 exons. The record is from RefSeq and is a predicted model, not a curated record.